RNAcentral lists this long non-coding RNA (1376 nucleotides) under Homo sapiens (human). Its description in RNAcentral is "novel transcript". The record is from RNAcentral. Lineage: Eukaryota; Metazoa; Chordata; Mammalia; Primates; Hominidae.
GUGCAGUUUCCAGUGUCAUCUUCAUCCAAAUGCAUGAAUGCAAGAUCCACAGCUUCCCUCUUCCAAUGAUCGCACAGCCUGUCUCCUUUAAGAUGUCCUUGGUUAUCUCUGUAAAACUUGACCUUAAGUUCUUCUGUCUGGGGAUCGCUCAUAAUAAUGCCAAAUGGACAGGCGUGUGAAUGCCUCCACGGUAACGACCAGAGGCAAACCGGCACAUACACGUUUGUAUUUCUCCUUCUUCAGCAUGAAGCCUUCCUUUUUCUCCCCUCUUUGUGGGAUCAGUGGGUUUGGGGUUUUUCUUGGUGGCAGAGCAGCGCCGUCACCGAGCAGCCGUCGCUGGCCUGAUAUGCAGCGGUGAAGUCUUCACUGGUUUCUCUUCUGCUCCUGUGUGCUUGCAGAAACCGGGCUGGCUCUUGAUUGGGAUUGUAGGCUGCAGAGGCUGGGGAAGGGCAGACAGCCUCGGGAGACACGCCGGAAAGGGCGGCUCCCUCGUGCUCCUCAGUGACUCAGGGUUUUGGCCACAUAGCUCCCCUCCUCCACCCUCGCUCAGCAGGCUGCAUCCGGGGCGGGGCUGGCAGGCAAAGAGGCUGUGUCACAGCCCUUCAGAGCCUCAAGCUGGGGUCCCUAGGGUUUCUGGACCUCAGAUCACUGUGAGGCAGGAGGUCCUCCACCCUCCCUCCGGCAACUCUGAAGUAUGGGAAGUGGGCUGAUGCGCUGGAACGUCGAUGCAGCCAGUGAUGUGUUUGAUGAGAAUGUAUUGAGAGUAAAGCUGCCCAGAAUCCAAGUGUGUGUCAUCUGAACUCUUGAAUCAUGGAUGGAAGGUAUGUCCUCUGUUGAUGUCUCGCAGCCUGAGCUGACAAUCUGUAAGAAGGUUUUGUUAUCUUCAUGUUACAGAUGGUGAACCGAAACUUACAGAGCUCAAGUCACUUGACCAGGCUCCACCCCUACAAGAGGCAGCACGCAAACUAAAAACCAGGCGGCCUUUUCCAAAGCUUGUGCUCUGCUCCACUGCUGGAAGGAACCCUUCGGGGAAUUGAAGCAGCACUGAACAAAGGCCAUUUUUAAGAAGCGACACCAGAAACCUAAGGCGGGGUCCCCGGCUCAACAAGGAUCUCAUGUUUUGUGGGUCAGAGAUUCUUGUGUCGUGUCUGGGUGAGGUCAAAAACCAUGCAGAGACUUUCACUUCCUGUUCUGUGGCAGACAAGACAUCUGAAAAGCUCUCCUGCAGCAACACUUCUAGAUGCCAAGUAAAUCACAGCAAGUGCACUUUUAAAUGUGUUACUAAGAUCAUAAAAAUGAAGGAAAAUGCCCAAGCAUAUCCCCAACCCCUCACCCCACAACCACCACCACCACAAUAAACAAGUUGCUGACAGUGG